This 2003-nucleotide long non-coding RNA is filed under the name Pelobates cultripes (western spadefoot toad). The record is from RNAcentral. Lineage: Eukaryota; Metazoa; Chordata; Amphibia; Anura; Pelobatidae.
CAAUCAAAUAAGCAGACAAAAAAAUUCAACUACAGACAUUAAAAUUGAUGAAAUAGACAAGCAGGGAGCCAAGCAGCCAGCCUGAGCAGACGUGCCGAGUCCCAGCCUCUGUCCCAAAUCGAUUGUUUUGGUGAAAAACCCAAAAACUCGGCACGUCCAUCUCCUGGUUAGAUAUUAACAAGCAGGGGAACACCCGGGCGACCAGCCUGAUACUACACAUCAGCGGAUCGACAACCGGGUGCCACGAUCAAGCCACUGAGGCCUACGGGAGUUCGAGGCGGGAGGGGACGGCCGUUCCUCCUGUUCACGGCCCCAAAAACAGACUCUAAAGCAAGAUCACAUCCUACCCCCCCCCGGAUCGGUGGGGGUCAUGCCGGUCCACAGCAAGUGUCUGGAGCAUUCAGCCGCACCCCAGUCCUGUACGCUGAGCAACAACCCCGGAAAGCUUCUACCUCGUGGCAAACACAAUAUGGUGGCUACCUGCUUACCUGAAACACAGAGCCUGCCACCAAGCCAAUAGCACCAUUCUUGCACCACCGCUGACUCCCUGCAUCGCUUGGAUCAAAUAUUCAGGAGUUUCUGGGAAAAGCUGCUGAAGCGGACUCAGAUGGAGCAGACAGUAGGCCAAGAGCUCUCGGUAAAAGGAGUGCUUGACCGCGAGCAACGCGAAGCGAAUGGGCUACCCUCGGGCACAGCGCCAACAUACUCAGCUACUGUCACACUAAAGGGCUGAAGGCCAUGAGGGUCCAAACCCAGAGGCAUUACCCACACAAACGGAGGGGCAAGUGCCACAAGCGGCGGCAGACAUCAGACCCUCCGGAACCUCCACACGAGGACGAAACCCGAACUAUUGUAGCAACCGGGGCUGUGGCACAGAAAUGCCGGCCAACAUAAUAGCCUGGGGCAGGAGGGACGCCCCCACUCGCACUUACACCGCAGCAGUACCGAGAGGCACAUAGACGGGCUCAAGCGGCAUACCACCGAAGGGAAUCGGACGGCAGGGACAGACGCGACUUUCUGACCUUGUGUCCCUGGAGGCAGACCACCUAGCUAUCCCGACAUGCGGAGUAGGCUGAGGACCCUUACCAUUGUUUUCGCCUGGACUGGCACGGAGACACGCACAGAGCUUGAGAAUCUGCUGGGACCUGGUGAUCCUACUUGUAGCGUGUACUUUAACAUAGCAAUGCAAAGCCUUAGAUUCAAACUAUAAAAGUGUCACUGUCAAUCUUAGAAAUAGUAAUGUUUUGCAUAUACAAGACGACUGCCCAGCAUGAUAUGUAACCCACUGUUUGCUAUAUGUCUAUUACCUAGCAUACAGGUUAGAAUAGAACCUAAUGUUAUACCGGUUUAUAUCUUGACAGGUUAACCUUGCUAAUUAUUGCACUCAAAACAUCUACCUACCCAACCUGUGAUCCACUAUUAUACUCAUGAUAAAACAUAAAAUGGUGCAUAUGUAUCAUAGGCGACCUAGCAAUGUUAAGCAUCCAGCAUCUUUACUUUAUUUUAAUCCACUCAAUCUUACUCGGACAAAUUAACUGUUUAGUUAAGCAUGUUAAAUAUAAAAAUUGUGCAAAUUAUCAAGCCACUGUUUAACUUGUAUGAAACUUGAAAUACUCUGUUGUGGCGCUCGUUGAAAUACUGUGACCAACUGCACUACUAAAAUAAAGAAUUUAAAAAAAAAAUAGACAAGCAGGCAAUUUUUCUUUUAAUUCCUAAAGCAGGAAAAGGAAGAUUACAGUAUUUAACUGUCCUGUGAAAACCAUAAACGCCCACAAUCCUUUAACGUACCUAGAAAGGUCUCCUACACAUAGGGGAUCUGCACGUAUUUUGCUCUGGAUUGUUCCUGUUCAUGAACCAGCCUGAUGUGUUAGUAGCACAAUAUGUCCAUUCACGUGUACUGGUGUUACUAUGAUUCUCUACCUGUGCACUGUGUUCUUUGAUCUACUCUCUGUUCUGUUUUAUUCGUUUUUAUUGUAAAAUAAACAAAAACUAAUUGAAAUAAA